This 262-nucleotide long non-coding RNA is filed under the name Capsicum annuum. RNAcentral describes it as "long non-coding RNA (CANN_LNC003499)". Lineage: Eukaryota; Viridiplantae; Streptophyta; Magnoliopsida; Solanales; Solanaceae. The record is from RNAcentral.
UUCAGGUAACAUGUUCCAUAUAUUGUUCUUUUUUCUUUGUUUUGAUGGUUUUGAUUAGAGUUCAAGGUUUUUGUUAAACUUUGCAAGAGAGAACACUCCAUCACUCGUAUGGUUUAAUAACACGAUUUAGGAGAAUAAAUUCCAGUGUUAUGGAGUUGUCAUGUGCUUAACUGUCAUUUGUUGACGUUAUAAUAUGAGGGAGGCACGGUGUUCACCUGAACCCCAUUGGGCAUCGACGAAAAAUUGUGAGGUAUAUUGGAGG